RNAcentral lists this ribosomal RNA (468 nucleotides) under uncultured bacterium. RNAcentral's name for it is "partial 16S ribosomal RNA". It matches the Rfam family "Bacterial small subunit ribosomal RNA", at positions 28 to 507 of the family's 1533-position model. The record is from RNAcentral.
GACGAACGCUGGCGGCGUGCUUAACACAUGCAAGUCGAACGGAAAGGCCCUGCUUUUGUGGGGUGCUCGAGUGGCGAACGGGUGAGUAACACGUGAGUAACCUGCCCUUGACAUUGGGAUAACUUCAGGAAAAUGGGGCUAAUACCGGAUAGGAGCUCCUGCUGCAUGGUGGGGGUUGGAAAGUUUCGGCGGUUGGGGCUGGACUCGCGGCUUCUCAGCUAGUUGGUGGGGUAGUGGCUUACGAAGGCUUUGACGGGUAGCCGGCCUGAGAGGGUGACCGGGCACAUUGCGACUGAGAGAGGGAGCAGACGCCUACGGGAGGCAGCAGUCGGGAAUAUGGCGGAACGGGCCGAAGCCUGAGGCAGAAACGCCGGGUGCGGGAUGCUGUGCUACGGGGUGUAAACCGAUGUCGACUGUGACGAAGCGGGAGUGACGGUAAUGGGUAAGGAAGCAACGGCUAACUACGUG